CCCUUAGAUGUUCUGGGCCGCACACGCGCUACACUGAAGGAGGCAGCGUGUACUCCUGGAUCGAAAGAUUUGGGUAACCCGCGAAUUUCCUUCGUGCUAGGGAUUGAGGUUUGCAAUUAUCCUUCAUGAACGAGGAAUUCCCAGUAAGUGCAAGUCAUAAGCUUGCGCUGACUACGUCCCUGCCCUUUGUACACACCGCCCGUCGCUACUACCGAUUGAAUGAUUUAGUGAGGACUUCGGACUGGGACCGAUGCGGCUUUCGGGCUGCGUCGGUAUUCUGGAAAGAUGUCCAAACUGUAUCAUUUAGAGGAAGUAAAAGUCGUAACA
RNAcentral lists this ribosomal RNA (327 nucleotides) under uncultured eukaryote. Its description in RNAcentral is "partial 18S ribosomal RNA". It matches the Rfam family "Eukaryotic small subunit ribosomal RNA", at positions 1470 to 1796 of the family's 1831-position model. The record is from RNAcentral.